Molecule: ribosomal RNA, 268 nt
Filed under: uncultured bacterium
Lineage: Bacteria
Description: partial 16S ribosomal RNA
Rfam family: Bacterial small subunit ribosomal RNA
Source: RNAcentral
CCGGCGACCGGCGCACGGGUGAGUAACACGUAUGCAACCUGGCCGCCAUAGGGGGAUAACCCGCGGAAACGCGGCCUAAUACCCCGUGACGCCACCGGAGGGCAUCCUCCGGUGGCCAAAGGAGCGAUCCGGUGGCGGAUGGGCAUGCGGCGCAUUAGCUAGACGGCGGGGUGACGGCCCACCGUGGCGACGAUGCGUAGGGGUUCUGAGAGGAAGGCCCCCCACACUGGGACUGAGACACGGCCCAGACUCCUACGGGAGGCAGCAG